Molecule: ribosomal RNA, 238 nt
Filed under: uncultured bacterium
Lineage: Bacteria
Description: partial 16S ribosomal RNA
Rfam family: Bacterial small subunit ribosomal RNA
Source: RNAcentral
UGAGGAACAUGACUUUCGGUGGGGGAGUAGCCGGCCCAACGGCCGGGUAAUACCGCGUACGACCUCUUGGGGACAUCCCCGAUUGGUGAAAGCAGCAAUGCGCCGAAAGAGUGCCUCGCGGCCUAUCAGCUAGUUGGUGGGGUAAUGGCUCACCAAGGCAACGGACGGGUAGCUGGUCUGAGAGGAUGGCCAGCCACAGUUGGGACUGAGACACGGCCCAGACCUCCGUACGGGGAGG